Phoenix dactylifera (date palm) is the source of this 86-nucleotide small nucleolar RNA. RefSeq annotates it as small nucleolar RNA snoR114. The record is from RefSeq and is a predicted model, not a curated record. NCBI's taxonomy places the organism in Eukaryota, Viridiplantae, Streptophyta, Magnoliopsida, Arecales, Arecaceae.
GAGCAUUGAGGAGAACAGUGCUUCCUAUGAUGCCGGGGUGCGUCACAACUGUCUGAUUAUCAGAUGAGCUCAGCGCUCCUGAGUUC